This 39-nucleotide ribosomal RNA is filed under the name Phytophthora niederhauseri. Its description in RNAcentral is "partial 28S ribosomal RNA". Lineage: Eukaryota; Oomycota; Peronosporomycetes; Peronosporales; Peronosporaceae. The record is from RNAcentral.
UUGGACCUGAUAUCAGGCAAGAUUACCCGCUGAACUUAG